RNAcentral lists this ribosomal RNA (301 nucleotides) under uncultured bacterium. Its description in RNAcentral is "partial 16S ribosomal RNA". It matches the Rfam family "Bacterial small subunit ribosomal RNA", at positions 509 to 807 of the family's 1533-position model. The record is from RNAcentral.
CAGUCGCCGCGGGAAUACAGAGGAUGCAAGCGUUAUCCGGAAUUAUUGGGCGUAAAGGGCUCGCAGGCGGUUUCUUAAGUCUGAUGUGAAAGCCCCCGGCUCAACCGGGGAGGGUCAUUGGAAACUGGGAAACCUGAGUGCAGAAGAGGAGAGUGGAAUUCCACGUGUAGCGGUGAAAUGCGUAGAGAUGUGGAGGAACACCAGUGGCGAAGGCGACUCUCUGGUCUGUAACUGACGCUGAGGAGCGAAAGCGUGGGGAGCGAACAGGAUUAGAUACCCCGGUAGUCCCUGUCUCUUAUAC